RNAcentral lists this ribosomal RNA (817 nucleotides) under uncultured Bacteroidota bacterium. Its description in RNAcentral is "bacterial SSU rRNA". It matches the Rfam family "Bacterial small subunit ribosomal RNA", at positions 73 to 884 of the family's 1533-position model. The record is from RNAcentral. Lineage: Bacteria; Pseudomonadati; Bacteroidota.
UUGUCAGCAAUGGCAAGUUCACUGGCGCACGGGUGAGUAACGCGUAGGCAAUCUGCCUCGGGGAGGGGGAUAACCCGCCGAAAGGCGGGCUAAUACCGCAUAAAGCAAGGGGGCCGCAUGGCCCAUUUGCCAAAGGGGAAACCUGCCUCGGGAUGAGCCUGCGUCGCAUUAGCUAGUUGGUGGGGUAACGGCCCACCAAGGCGAUGAUGCGUAGCUGGUCUGAGAGGAUGAUCAGCCACACUGGCACUGAGACACGGGCCAGACUCCUACGGGAGGCAGCAGUGAGGAAUAUUGCGCAAUGGGGGAGACCCUGACGCAGCCACGCCGCGUGCAGGAAGAAGGUCCUCUGGAUUGUAAACUGCUUUUAUCCGGGAAGAACGGGUGGGAUUCGUCCUGCCGUGACGGUACCGGGUGAAUAAGCACCGGCUAACUCCGUGCCAGCAGCCGCGGUAAUACGGAGGGUGCGAGCGUUGUCCGGAAUCAUUGGGUGUAAAGGGUGCGUAGGCGGGUUCUUAAGUCUGGGGUGAAAGUCUGCGGCUCAACCGUAGGAUUGCCUUGGAUACUGGGAGUCUUGAGGGUGACAGAGGCCGGUAGAAUUCGUGGUGUAGCGGUGAAAUGCAUAGAUAUCACGAAGAAUACCAGUGGCGUAGGCGGCCGGCUGGGUCACGACUGACGCUGAGGCACGAGAGCGUGGGGAGCAAACAGGAUUAGAUACCCUGGUAGUCCACGCCGUANACGUUGUAUGCUAGGUGUCGGGCCGCUUUCGGGCGGUUCGGUGCUGCAGCUCACGCAUUAAGCAUACCACCUGGGGAGUACG